CACCCAUAUAAAAUAUUUACUUCUCCUACAACCUCUCUUAUAUUGAUUAGGCGAUUACUGAGAACAGUCGCGUCUUUAAUUUCUGCCACAUUUGAAGGACGUUCAUUCCCCAUAUGUUAGGACGCUCGGUUCUUUCGUCGUUCUCAACGUCUUCACGGCCUUCAUUAAAACGUUUAUACUAUUCAGUAACACCAAGUGUAGACAUUAAAUUCGUUAAAAGGAUUUUGUAUCAUUAUCACUAUUUUAUUACACUUAAUUCCAUUUUUAACACAAACCAAGAUACAAAUUCUUUGUUCCUUCAUUUUUAAAAUACAGACAACACGUAUCGGUCAAACAUUUACUUAUGCUGAAUCAUUAAAAAUUUAAUCUUCAACAAGAUAACAAAAAAUGUAAAACUAAAUAUAAAUAUCACACGUUACUUUUUAUCAUAUCUCAUACAAUAUCCUUUGACUGAUAACAUAAGUGAUAAACG
Molecule: non-coding RNA, 472 nt
Organism: Cinara cedri
Lineage: Eukaryota; Metazoa; Arthropoda; Insecta; Hemiptera; Aphididae
Source: the annotation of a GenBank genome assembly